RNAcentral lists this long non-coding RNA (749 nucleotides) under Populus trichocarpa (black cottonwood). RNAcentral's name for it is "long non-coding RNA (PTRI_LNC002199)". The record is from RNAcentral. Lineage: Eukaryota; Viridiplantae; Streptophyta; Magnoliopsida; Malpighiales; Salicaceae.
GUCACAAGGAGCCUGAUGGAUGGACCUGUCAUUGUCAACACAACAUGGCAUUAGAUAAGUGAAAUGCAUCUUUUUGUGUUGCACAUCAAAAUUGUAGAUGCUGCCUUGCUUGAAAUUAAGAUAAUUGUCCCUCAAACCCUGAGAGAGAACUCAACUGGUCAGGUUUUUAGUUUGUUUCCCAAUGGUCACGAGUUCGAGUCCCUUUAGGGCCACUGAAGAUUUACAUGGUUGUUAACUUCAGGACCCGUAGGAUUUGUCGAGAUGCACAAGCUGACCUGAACACCUAUUAAUAAAAACAAAAAAAUUGUCUGUCACCAUCACUCAAAAUGGGUCACAAGGAGCCUGAUGGAUGGACCUGUCAUUGUCAACACAACAUGGCAUUAGAUAAGUGAAAUGCAUCUUUUUGUGUUGCACAUCAAAAUUGUAGAAGCAUUUGAGCUUAAAACGCAUCUGAUUUAAGCUUCUAGACCCAAUCUGUUGAAACUCAGGACAAUCCAAUUUGUGAAUUCUGGGGAAAAUAGAGCAAUGAAUUGAAAAAGAAAAUUGUUUUGCUGAAUUAUCUUGUAGACUGAAGGAAACAUGCUCAAACACUACGUUUUUAACUUAAAUCCAUUGCUCCCUGAAUUUCCUUCUAAAUCAUGUCACAAACUCAUUUUCCCCAUUUAAUGGUCUUCUUCUGAGGACUAGGGGAAGGAAAAAGAUGAGUUGUGCACCAGAAAGGGAAAACUAGUAAACAAAGUAAACCUGAG